This 498-nucleotide ribosomal RNA is filed under the name uncultured bacterium. RNAcentral describes it as "partial 16S ribosomal RNA". It matches the Rfam family "Bacterial small subunit ribosomal RNA", at positions 28 to 507 of the family's 1533-position model. The record is from RNAcentral.
GACGAACGCUGGCGGCGUGCCUAAUACAUGCAAGUCGAACGAGAGCGACCGGUGCUUGCACUGGUCAAUCUAGUGGCGAACGGGUGAGUAACACGUGGGUAACCUGCCCAUCAGAGGGGGAUAACAUCCGGAAACGGAUGCUAAAACCGCAUAGGUCUUCGAACCGCAUGGUUUGAAGAGGAAAAGAGGCGCAAGCUUCUGCUGAUGGAUGGACCCGCGGUGCAUUAGCUAGUUGGUGAGGUAACGGCUCACCAAGGCCGUGAUGCAUAGCCGACCUGAGAGGGUGAUCGGCCACAUUGGGACUGAGACACGGCCCAAACUCCUACGGGAGGCAGCAGUAGGGAAUCUUCCGCAAUGGACGCAAGUCUGACAGAGCAACGCCGCGUGAGUGAAGAAGGUUUUCGGAUCGUAAAACUCUGUUGUUAGAGAAGAACAAGUGCUAGAGUAACUGUUAGCGCCUUGACGGUAGCUAACCAGAAAGCCACGGCUAACUACGUG